This 670-nucleotide ribosomal RNA is filed under the name uncultured Pelagibacterium sp. RNAcentral's name for it is "bacterial SSU rRNA". It matches the Rfam family "Bacterial small subunit ribosomal RNA", at positions 113 to 818 of the family's 1533-position model. The record is from RNAcentral. Lineage: Bacteria; Pseudomonadati; Pseudomonadota; Alphaproteobacteria; Hyphomicrobiales; Devosiaceae.
UAAUGUAGGUAUCUGCCUUUUGGUUUGGAAUAACACGAGGAAACUUGUGCUAAUACCGGAUAAGCCUUCACAGGGAAAGUUUUAACGCCAAAAGAUGAGCCUGCACUUGAUUAGCUAGUUGGUAAGGUAAUGGCUUACCAAGGCUACGAUCAAUAGCUGUUCUUAGAGGAAGAUCAGCCACAUUGGGACUGAGACACGGCCCAAACUCCUACGGGAGGCAGCAGUGGGGAAUCUUGCACAAUGGGGGAAACCCUGAUGCAGCGAUGCCGCGUGAGUGAAGAAGGCCUUUGGGUUGUAAAGCUCUUUCGUCGGGGAAGAAAAUGACUGUACCCGAAUAAGAAGGUCCGGCUAACUUCGUGCCAGCAGCCGCGGUAAUACGAAGGGACCUAGCGUAGUUCGGAAUUACUGGGCUUAAAGAGCACGUAGGUGGUUAAAAAAGUUGGUGGUGAAAUCCCAAGGCUUAACCUUGGAACUGCCACCAAAACUUUUUAGCUAGAGUAUGAUUGAGGUAAGCGGAAUUUCUAGUGUAGAGGUGAAAUUCGUAGAUAUUAGAAAGAACACCAAUUGCGAAGGCAGCUUUCUGGAUCAUUACUGACACUGAGGUGCGAAAGCAUGGGUAGCGAAGAGGAUUAGAUACCCUCGUAGUCCAUGCCGUAAACGAUGUGUGCUA